AGUAAGGUCAGCUAAAAAAGCUUUUGGGCCCAUACCCCAACCAUGUUGGUUAAAAUCCUUCCUUUACUA
This 69-nucleotide transfer RNA is filed under the name Iriatherina werneri. RNAcentral describes it as "tRNA-Met". It matches the Rfam family "tRNA". Rfam says of the family: Transfer RNA (tRNA) molecules are approximately 80 nucleotides in length. Their secondary structure includes four short double-helical elements and three loops (D, anti-codon, and T loops). The record is from RNAcentral. Lineage: Eukaryota; Metazoa; Chordata; Actinopteri; Atheriniformes; Melanotaeniidae. RNAcentral also lists the same sequence under 1 other name.